GCAAGUCGAACGAGACCUUCGGGUCUAGUGGCGCACGGGUGCGUAACGCGUGGGAAUCUGCCCUUAGGUACGGAAUAACUCAGAGAAAUUUGUGCUAAUACCGUAUGAUGUCGAAAGACCAAAGAUUUAUCGCCUAAGGAUGAGCCCGCGUAAGAUUAGCUUGUUGGUGAGGUAAAAGCUCACCAAGGCGACGAUCUUUAGCUGGUCUGAGAGGAUGAUCAGCCACACUGGGACUGAGACACGGCCCAGACUCCUACGGGAGGCAGCAGUGGGGAAUAUUGGACAAUGGGCGAAAGCCUGAUCCAGCAAUGCCGCGUGAGUGAUGAAGGCCUUAGGGUUGUAAAGCUCUUUUACCAGGGAUGAUAAUGACAGUACCUGGAGAAUAAGCUCCGGCUAACUCCGUGCCAGCAGCCGCGGUAAUACGGAGGGAGCUAGCGUUGUUCGGAAUUACUGGGCGUAAAGAGUACGUAGGCGGUUAUUCAAGUCAGAGGUGAAAGCCUGGAGCUCAACUCCAGAACUGCCUUUGAAACUAGAUAGCUAGAAUCUUGGAGAGGUGAGUGGAAUUCCGAGUGUAGAGGUGAAAUUCGUAGAUAUUCGGAAGAACACCAGUGGCGAAGGCGACUCACUGGACAAGUAUUGACGCUGAGGUACGAAAGCGUGGGGAGCAAACAGGAUUAGAUACCCUGGUAGUCCACGCCGUAAACGAUGAUAACUAGCUGUUCGGGCUCUACGAGCUUGAGUGGCGCAGCUAACGCAUUAAGUUAUCCGCCUGGGGAGUACGGUCGCAAGAUUAAAACUCAAAGGAAUUGACGGGGGCCUGCACAAGCGGUGGAGCAUGUGGUUUAAUUCGAAAGCACGCGCAGAACCUUACCAGCGUUUGACAUCCUAAUCGCGGUUUUCAGAGAUGAUUACCUUCAGUUCGGCUGGAUUAGUGACAGGUGCUGCAUGGCUGUCGUCAGCUCGUGUCGU
RNAcentral lists this ribosomal RNA (969 nucleotides) under uncultured Sphingomonadaceae bacterium. RNAcentral describes it as "bacterial SSU rRNA". It matches the Rfam family "Bacterial small subunit ribosomal RNA", at positions 57 to 1068 of the family's 1533-position model. Lineage: Bacteria; Pseudomonadati; Pseudomonadota; Alphaproteobacteria; Sphingomonadales; Sphingomonadaceae. The record is from RNAcentral.